Long non-coding RNA from Sapajus apella (tufted capuchin), 826 nucleotides. RefSeq lists it as uncharacterized. The transcript is spliced from 3 exons. The record is from RefSeq and is a predicted model, not a curated record. Lineage: Eukaryota; Metazoa; Chordata; Mammalia; Primates; Cebidae.
CGUGCCGGAAGGAAAUCACUCAGCCUUACACCGCCCCCAUUCCCCCACCCGCAGAGCUUCCCUUGCCUCGCGCCCCCUCCCCUCUCUGCUCUUCUUCCUAAAUCGGGAGGAGGGCGGGAGCCCGGUGUCUUGGUCAUGUCUCCGCCCACAAUGGCGAGGAAGGGCGGGGAAAAGGGGCGGGCUUAUGGGGCAGGAAGAAGGUGGUGCUGGAGGAGGGGAAGAUUGAGGGCGGCUAGGGGGAGGAGCCGAAGCAGUCGCUGCCGGGAGCGUGCGUCAUGACGUCACCAAAGAAAACUCUUAUAUACGGGAGCCCAGGCACCAUUACGUCCUUUCGAGGUAGGAGGCCGCUUUGAUUUGGUAUGGAGCUAGGUGCGGAUGCAAUGUGGCUCUCGAUAGCACCUUAUGGAUAGUUGUGUCCCAAAGGAUGAGAAUAGCUGCUGAAGUAAGUUGAAAAUUCCCUCUCAAAAAUAUUGAAGUCACUGGAUGUGCCACAAUGAUGACAGUUUAUUUGCUACUCUUGACUGCUAGAAUGACGAGAGUCUUAACCACCAAUCUUAACUGAGGCACCCAAAAUGGUGAUUUGGGGAACAGAGAGCACACCUAAGUUCACAUCAAGCUGUUUCUUCCCAGGUCCUAAAGAGCAAGCCUAACUCAAGCUGUUGGCACACAGGUGAGAAACCUUUGUUAUACUUGUCACACUUUAAGGGAUUAGAAAAUAGCCAGAGCAAUGAUGCUUAUAUACAUUAGUGUUUCUCUCCUCCCCUUUUCUAUUUUGUUUAUUUAUUUUUUAUUCCUCACCUUUUCAAAUGUGAGUUUCUGCUCUCAU